Molecule: unclassified non-coding RNA, 310 nt
Filed under: fungal sp.
Lineage: Eukaryota; Fungi
Description: partial internal transcribed spacer region
Rfam family: Eukaryotic small subunit ribosomal RNA (bases 1-46)
Source: RNAcentral
AAGUCGUAACAAGGUUUCCGUAGGUGAACCUGCGGAAGGAUCAUUAACACGUAUCCAACGUUAAAAACCCCGUGCAUUUUAACCCUGCUCUCUCUUCACCUCAAAAAGCAAUCUCUGGUAAAUCAUAUCAUAGAACAGUUUGAUUCAGAGACUUGGGGAUGGAGCGGUAGAGCAAAUAGACUUGGUUUCCGCAAGGAUAACUGACUCAGGUCGUUGACCCUCACGGUCAACGGACAGGUCUCUGGGGCUUCGGCUCCCCAUUAACCCCGCACAAAACGAACAACUGUUAACAAUGGAUAUCUUGGUUCUC